Molecule: ribosomal RNA, 1217 nt
Filed under: uncultured Campylobacterota bacterium
Lineage: Bacteria; Pseudomonadati; Campylobacterota
Description: bacterial SSU rRNA
Rfam family: Bacterial small subunit ribosomal RNA
Source: RNAcentral
UGUUGGAAACGACUUGUAAUGCUCUAUAUGCCUUUAGUACAUAAGUACGCAAGGGAAAUAUUUAUAGCUUUGAGAUGGGACUGUACGGUAUCAGUUUGUUGGUGAGGUAAUGGCUCACCUAGACUAUGACGCCUAACUGGUUUGAGAGGAUGAUCAGUCACACUGGAACUGAGACACGGUCCAGACUCUUACGGGAGGCAGCAGUGGGGAAUAUUGCACAAUGGAGGAAACUCUGAUGCAGCAACGCCGCGUGGAGGAUGACACAUUUCGGUGCGUAAACUCCUUUUAUUAGGGAAGAUAAUGACGGUACCUAAUGAAUAAGCACCGGCUAACUCCGUGCCAGCAGCCGCGGUAAUACGGGGGGUGCAAGCGUUACUCGGAAUCACUGGGCGUAAAGAGCAUGUAGGCUGGUUUGUAAGUUGGAAGUGAAAUCCUAUGGCUUAACCAUAGAACUGCUUCCAAAACUGCAGACCUAGAGUAUGGGAGAGGUAGAUGGAAUUUCUGGUGUAGGGGUAAAAUCCGUAGAGAUCAGAAGGAAUACCAAAAGCGAAGGCGAUCUACUGGAACAUUACUGACGCUGAGAUGCGAAAGCGUGGGGAGCAAACAGGAUUAGAUACCCUGGUAGUCCACGCCCUAAACGAUGCACACUAGUUGUUGCUAUGCUCGACAUAGCAGUAAUGCAGUUAACACAGUAAGUGUGCCGCCUGGGGGAGUACGGUCGCAAGAUUAAAACUCAAAGGAAUAGACGGGGACCCGCACAAGCGGUGGAGCAUGUGGUUUAAUUCGACGAUACGCGAAGAACCUUACCUGGCCUUGACAUAGGAAGAACUUACUAAAAGAUAGUUUGGGUGCUAGUUUACUAGAGCUUCCAUACAGGUGCUGCACGGCUGUCGUCAGCUCGUGUCCUGAAGAAGUUUGGGGUUAAGUCCCGCAACCGAGCGCAACCCUCCGGGUUUAGUUACUAAACAGUUCCGCUUAAGGACUCUAGACAGACUGCCUGGGAAACCCCAAAGAGAAAGGUGGAGGACAACCUCCAAGUCUUCUUGGGCCCUUUAGGGCAGGGGGUCACCCUGGCUUCAAAUUGGGGGUUAUCAAAAGAGCCCAAAAUUCGGGGGACGGGAGAGAAAUUCCUAAAAAAUUCCCCCCCUUCGCGGAGAAGGGCUCGCCACCCCCCACCUCCGUUGUGUGAGAACCCCCGUUUUUCCCAAAACACACCC